UCCCUGGGGAUCCUGUGGCUAAGACUCUGUGCUCCCAAUGCAGGGGGCCCAGGUUCAAUCCCUGGUCAGGGAA
Molecule: transfer RNA, 73 nt
Filed under: Ovis aries (sheep)
Lineage: Eukaryota; Metazoa; Chordata; Mammalia; Artiodactyla; Bovidae
Rfam family: tRNA
About the family: Transfer RNA (tRNA) molecules are approximately 80 nucleotides in length.
Source: Rfam by way of RNAcentral